AAUUCUCAACCCCACCGAUUUGUUUUGGGGGGAUUGGACUUGGAGUGUGCUGGCGAAGGUCGGCUCCUCUUUAAAUGCAUCAGUGGAGAGAAACUUGCCCCAGUGUGAUAAUCCUGUUGUGCUGUGGUGGGUGAAAGUCUGCUUCCAACUGUCCUCCGGGACGAUACACCAUCUUA
RNAcentral lists this unclassified non-coding RNA (176 nucleotides) under uncultured Amphinema. RNAcentral describes it as "sequence contains ITS2". Lineage: Eukaryota; Fungi; Basidiomycota; Agaricomycetes; Atheliales; Atheliaceae. The record is from RNAcentral.